GCGCGCUAUAGCGCGAGGCGCAGCGCAGCGCAAGGAUUGCGCUUCGGAACUAUGGGCUAUAGCGCAGAACACAAAGGCGCUGAGGCGCGCGCUUUUUGCUGUGAGGUAAAAAUCAGUCUUACGUUCGCGAUGCACUGAAUAAUUUCUUCCUUUAAAUCGAUGGGAGCCCUAUUCGAUCGACAAACCAGAUCGAGCAACAGCCUCUUCGACGAUUCAGAGUCUCGGACGAUCGGACCCAGCUUCUUCUUCUCUGGUCUCCCUCUCCCUCUCUGAUUGUCAACUCCAAGUAACAACUUCUUCUUCCUCCUCCUCCUCCUCUUCCUCCUCCUCUCACCAUCUCACGUUUGCUUCCUCCUCCUCCUCUCACCUUCUUCUUCCUCAUUUUCUUUCUAUUUUCACCGAUUGUCCAGGACCCCCUUUUCUUUUUUCUUUUUUUUCCAGUCACAACCCCCCUUUUCUUUUUCUUUUUCUUUUUUCCAGUAGUAGGACCCCCCUUUGCUUUUUUUUUUCUUUUUUUUUUCGCCUGUUUUUUUUUUUGUUUUUGUUUCCAGCUCUGUUUAAAGUAUUUGUUCAGUUUGUUGUAUUUAUUUGUACUUGUUAUUUGUAGAUGACAUCUGAAAAUUCUAGUAAUGCCUAUGCAUGCCUCUAGAUUUUAUUGUCUUUAAUCCUUUUGUUAUGUCUCUAAGGCUAAACAUUAUUAUGUUAGCUUUUCAUGGAUGAUAUGUUAUGUUUAGUGUUUGGUACUUUCGUUUAACCAUUGACAUGUUAUGUUUUAUGACAUUUGAAA
Long non-coding RNA from Rhododendron vialii, 787 nucleotides. RefSeq lists it as uncharacterized. The transcript is spliced from 2 exons. The record is from RefSeq and is a predicted model, not a curated record. Lineage: Eukaryota; Viridiplantae; Streptophyta; Magnoliopsida; Ericales; Ericaceae.